RNAcentral lists this unclassified non-coding RNA (424 nucleotides) under uncultured Cortinarius. RNAcentral describes it as "sequence contains ITS2". The stretch from base 1 to 154 matches the Rfam family "5.8S ribosomal RNA". Lineage: Eukaryota; Fungi; Basidiomycota; Agaricomycetes; Agaricales; Cortinariaceae. The record is from RNAcentral.
AAACUUUCGCAAUGUAUCUCGUGGCUCUCGCAUCGAUUAAGAACGCAGCGAAAUGCGAUAAGUAAUGUGAAUUGCAGAAUUCAGUGAAUCAUCGAAUCUUUGAACGCACCUUGCGCUCCUUGGUAUUCCGAGGAGCAUGCCUGUUUGAGUGUCAUUAAUAUAUAUCAACCUCUUCAGGUUUUUACUUGUCGAGUGUUUGGAUGUGGGGGGUCUUUUUUGCUGGUCUCUUUUGAGGUCGGCUCCCCUAAAAUGCAUUAGCAGAACAAUUUGUUGACCCGUUCAUUGGUGUGAUAACUAUCUACGCUUUUGACGUGAAACAGGGUUCAGCUUCUAACAGUCCAUUGACUUGGACAAUUUUCAUUAAUGUGACCUCAAAUCAGGUAGGACUACCCGCUGAACUUAAGCAUAUCAAUAAGCGGAGGCU